GGGUGAGUAACACGUGGGUUACCUACCUCUUAAAUGGGGAUACCAAUUGGAAACGAUUGUUAAUACCGAAUGUGAUCUACGGAUUAAAGGAAGCCUUUAAAGCUUCGCUUAGAGAUGGGCCUGCGGCGUAUUAGCUUGUUGGUGGGGUAAUGGCCUACCAAGGCGACGAUGCGUAGCCGGACUGAGAGGUUGAACGGCCACACUGGGACUGAGACACGGCCCAGACUCCUACGGGAGACAGCAGUUAGGAAUAUUCGGCAAUGGGGGAAACCCUGACCGAGCAAUGCCGCGUGUGAGAUGAAGGCCCUAUGGGUUGUAAAUCACUUUUAUUUGGGAAGAACUAUAAGUAGAGGAAAUGAUACUUAUUUGACGGUACCUUUUGAAUAAGCCCCGGCUAACUACGUGCCAGCAGCCGCGGUAAUACGUAGGGGGCGAGCGUUAUCCGGAUUUAUUGGGCGUAAAGCGUGCGUAGGCGGUUUGUUAAGUCCAGAAUUAAAGCCCGAGGCUUAACCUCGGUUCGUUCUGGAAACUGGCAGACUAGAGUAUGGUAGAGGCAAAUGGAAUUCCUAGUGUAGCGGUGAAAUGCGUAGAUAUUAGGAGGAACACCAGUGGCGAAGGCGAUUUGCUGGGCCAUCACUGACGCUGAGGUACGAAAGCGUGGGGAGCAAAUAGGAUUAGAUACCCUAGUAGUCCACGCUGUAAACGAUG
Molecule: ribosomal RNA, 708 nt
Filed under: uncultured bacterium
Lineage: Bacteria
Description: bacterial SSU rRNA
Rfam family: Bacterial small subunit ribosomal RNA
Source: RNAcentral